CACCUAGGAACCGAGCGUUAUCCGAAGUUACUGGGCGUCAAGCGCGUGUAGGUGGCUCGAAAAGUUGGGUGUGAAAGCUCCUGGCUCAACUAGGAGAGGCCGCUCAAAACUGUCGGGCUUGAGGACGGUAGAGGGAGGUGGAAUUCCCGGUGUAGUGGUGAAUUGCGUAGAUAUCGGGAGGAACACCAGUGGCGAAGGCGGGCUCCUGGACCGUUUGUGCCACUGAGACGCGAGAGCUAGGGGAGCGAGCGGG
This 253-nucleotide ribosomal RNA is filed under the name uncultured bacterium. RNAcentral describes it as "partial 16S ribosomal RNA". It matches the Rfam family "Bacterial small subunit ribosomal RNA", at positions 524 to 776 of the family's 1533-position model. The record is from RNAcentral.